GUGCCAGCCGCCGCGGUAAUACGAAGGGGGCUAGCGUUGUUCGGAUUUACUGGGCGUAAAGCGCACGUAGGCGGAUUGUUAAGUCAGGGGCGAAAUCCCGGAGCUCAACUCCGGAACUGCCUUUGAUACUGGCAAUCUUGAGGCUGGAAGAGGUUAGUGGAAUUCCCAGUGUAGAGGUGAAAUUCGUAGAUAUUGGGAAGAACACCAGUGGCGAAGGCGGCUAACUGGUCCAGAUCUGACGCUGAGGUGCGAAAGCGUGGGGAGCAAACAGGAUUAGAAACCCCUGUAGUCC
This 292-nucleotide ribosomal RNA is filed under the name uncultured bacterium. Its description in RNAcentral is "partial 16S ribosomal RNA". It matches the Rfam family "Bacterial small subunit ribosomal RNA", at positions 505 to 796 of the family's 1533-position model. The record is from RNAcentral.